CAGUAGCCACGGUAAUACGUAGGUGGCAAGCGUUGUCCGGAAUUAUUGGGCGUAAAGCGCGCGCAGGCGGAUAGGUCAGUCUGUCUUAAAAGUUCGGGGCUUAACCCCGUGAUGGGAUGGAACUGCCAAUCUAGAGUAUCGGAGAGGAGGGUGGAAUUCCUAGUGUAGCGGUGAAAUGCGUAGAUAUUAGGAAGAACACCAGUGGCGAAGGCGACUUUCUGGACGAAAACUGACGCUGAGGCGCGAAAGCCAGGGGAGCGAACGGGAUUAGAUACCCCCGUAGUCCCUGUCUCUUAUACAC
This 301-nucleotide ribosomal RNA is filed under the name uncultured bacterium. RNAcentral's name for it is "partial 16S ribosomal RNA". It matches the Rfam family "Bacterial small subunit ribosomal RNA", at positions 509 to 810 of the family's 1533-position model. The record is from RNAcentral.